AACUUAAGCAUAUCAAUAAGCGGAGGAAAAGAAACCAACAGGGAUUGCCUUAGUAACUGCGAGUGAAGCGGCAAAAGCUCAAAUUUGAAAUCUGGUACCUCUGGGUGCCCGAGUUGUAAUUUGGAGAGGCAACUUCGGAGGAGGCGCUGGCCUAAGUUCCUUGGAACAGGACGUCACAGAGGGUGAGAAUCCCGUGCUUGGCUGGCUGUCCUCCUUCAUGUGAAGUGUCUUCGACGAGUCGAGUUGUUUGGGAAUGCAGCUCAAAAUGGGUGGUAAACUCCAUCUAAGGCUAAAUAUUGGCGAGAGACCGAUAGCGCACAAGUAGAGUGAUCGAAAGAUGAAAAGCACUUUGAAAAGAGAGUUAAAAAGUACGUGAAAUUGUUGAAAGGGAAGCGCUUGAGACCAGACUCGGUGAUUGGUGAUCAGCGGUUGCUUUUGCUCCGUGCACUUGCCUUUUACUGGGCCAGCAUCAGUUGUGACGGUGGGAUAAAGACUCAGGGAAUGUGGCUCUCUUCGGGGAGUGUUAUAGCCUUGGGUGUAAUGCCGCCUGUUGCGACUGAGGACCGCGCUUCGGCUAGGAUGCUGGCAUAAUGGUCUUCAGCGACCCGUCUUGAAACACGGACCAAGGAGUCUAACAUCUAUGCGAGUGUUCGGGUGUAAAACCCCUACGCGUAAUGAAAGUGAACGGAGGUGGGAACUCUUCGGAGUGCACCAUCGACCGAUCCUGAUGUCUUCGGAUGGAUUUGAGUAGGAGCAUAGCUGUUGGGACCCGAAAGAUGGUGAACUAUGCCUGAAUAGGGUGAAGCCAGAGGAAACUCUGGUGGAGGCUCGCAGCGGUUCUGACGUGCAAAUCGAUCGUCAAAUUUGGGUAUAGGGGCGAAAGA
This 884-nucleotide ribosomal RNA is filed under the name Galiella amurensis. Its description in RNAcentral is "partial large subunit ribosomal RNA". It matches the Rfam family "Eukaryotic large subunit ribosomal RNA", at positions 31 to 930 of the family's 3401-position model. Lineage: Eukaryota; Fungi; Ascomycota; Pezizomycetes; Pezizales; Sarcosomataceae. The record is from RNAcentral.